Molecule: long non-coding RNA, 1261 nt
Filed under: Equus caballus (horse)
Lineage: Eukaryota; Metazoa; Chordata; Mammalia; Perissodactyla; Equidae
Description: lncRNA (ENSECAG00000049789.1)
Source: RNAcentral
GGCCAUUUCCCCAGCUCUGGCUCCCUGGCAGCGCCCCUGUAUGCCCAACCAGCUGCUCCUUCUCACACUGGACGCACCGAGCAGGGAAGUGAUGGUUGGCAGAGAGGGCUUCUUCGAGGAGCUGAGCAAGAUGGGCCUCCAGAUCCCUCUCCCCACAGGGGAGGCCCUGAUGGCAGUAGAGAACAUGAGAGCUGGAAAACCAGGGUUGAAAGAGCCAUCGGGACAACCCGUCCAUUUUACAGAUGAGGAAACUGAGGCUCAGAGCCAGCAGCUGCAGGGUGUAGAAUCCAGCCCUUGGGACACUGUGCAACUCCAGGGAGGGGUCCCUGUGCCUCUGCACCAUGAGCCCAAACAGGGUCUGGAGCCUGGAUCCCACCUCAUCUGGAUUGCCCAGGCCUUUGCAGACAAGCCUUCAGAGAGGGCCCAGACCUCGGCCCUUCUGUCCUGGACUUCCCUGAGGACCUGGGUGGGGAGGGACAUGGUGGCAUGGCCAGGCCCAGGAGGGCAGAAGGCCAGAGGGUAUGGUCCAGAGUGGGUGACCCAGUGAGGGCUGUGUGGCAGAGCAGGACAAGAAAUGUGAUGGGGACGGAGGGAGGGCUGUGGCCCUUUGCCAAGCACACCCCACAUGAACCCCUGCAGGGAGACCCUCCCUGCACAUUGAGAUCCCUCCCUCCCCUACAGUAAGCCCCUCCCCCAUCACUAAGCCCCUUCUCCUCUCUCUGCGCCACCAUCCCCUCACUGUCCCUGCUCACUGUCCUCCCCCGCCUUAAGUCCCAUCCUAACUGCACUCUCUACCCUCAAGCCCCUGCCCCCCCCGCAUCCCCCUGACUUGCAGAGCAGCGAGCAGCUCAGACCCUGGUGCUGUGGCCUCUUCCAGGGUCUGGCCUGGACCCAGGCGUUUUCUAGGGGCACCUCCGGUCGGUUCCCCCUUCGUGGCACGCCGGGAAUGCAGCCCCUGCACACACAGGCCCCCUCCGCCGCGGAGAGGAGCUCAGUCCCGUGGACUUUUAAGGACUGAACAGGGAGCGAGCUCCGUCCCGGGCCUGGCCGAGCUGUCCUCCAGAUCUGGCCCCGUCACGGAGGGGCUUGGCUGGCUGCCCCAGUGGGGAGGGGUCUCAGCGCUUAGAUCAGGAAUGAACGGGGGCUGGGCACAUGUCGCGUCUGGCUGGGCCUCUGUCCCUCCUUCGGCCCCCCUUGGGUGGUGCUGAGGGCUGAGGACCCCUGCCCCUCUCUAGCAGGGGGUCCAGGCUGGGUCUCAGGG